RNAcentral lists this long non-coding RNA (750 nucleotides) under Phoenix dactylifera (date palm). RNAcentral's name for it is "long non-coding RNA (PDAC_LNC013573)". Lineage: Eukaryota; Viridiplantae; Streptophyta; Magnoliopsida; Arecales; Arecaceae. The record is from RNAcentral.
AACUGGGGUUGAACCAUGCGGUUGACUGGUCACCUACGGUGAUGCAUCUUUUGGACCCAAUGCGCAUUUUAACUUUGAUUUACGAUCACCUGCACCCAACAAAAAUAAAAUAUUAAUGCAGCACUGUUAUUAUUAUUUGUUAGCAAUAAUGCUAAUUUAAGUAAUGUGUACAUCGCACUUUUGUGCUCUCAUCACACCCCCCAACUAGCUUAUUGCUAGUCUCUAGCAAUUAACAAGCAAUUGAUAAAAUGAGAGUACAAAAAGUGUUGGUUGGUCCUUUGAUGUUUUAUUAGAACUAAUUGCAUAAAAUUAAGAUAAGUACUCACUUUCGUAGGAAUCACGAUUGCAUUUAGCACGUGCAACAAGCCGUUAAACCCCUAGGUUACCCUAGUGGACGAGUGUUGUCUCGUGAGGGUUUUCAGGGAUGUUACCCACAAACAUCAUGAAUUAUAUGACAUGAGAUUCUAAUAAAAAUAAACCCUAAGCUAAUACACAUGUAAUUAAUUGACAUAUAUUUUCAAGUAUGGCAACCGUCAAAGCAAGAAAAUAUAAAAGUGAAGUGUGCAUCAAAUCGCAUGACUUUCCCAGAGUACUAAUACCUCCACCACAACAGGGCACCGCCUGAGUUUUAGGUGCACUACUCAAGUUCACAGUAUUUUCUACAAUUCGUUAGAACCUGAUCCAUCAAAUUUUCAGAAUAUCACAUGUUGUCUAAAUUUGUCAAGAAUGGUUCGCAUGUAAAGAAAGAGC